RNAcentral lists this ribosomal RNA (451 nucleotides) under uncultured bacterium. RNAcentral describes it as "bacterial SSU rRNA". It matches the Rfam family "Bacterial small subunit ribosomal RNA", at positions 30 to 507 of the family's 1533-position model. The record is from RNAcentral.
AUUGAACGCUGGCGGCAUGCCUAACACAUGCAAGUCGAACGGUAACAGCGGAAGCUUGCUUCCGGCUGACGAGUGGCGGACGGGUGAGUAAUGCAUAGGAAUCUGCCCCGAAGCGGGGGACAACUACCGGAAACGGUAGCUAAUACCGCAUAAUCUCUACGGAGGAAAGACUUCGGUCACUUUGGGAUGAGCCUAUGUCUGAUUAGCUUGUUGGUGGGGUAACGGCCUACCAAGGCGACGAUCAGUAGCUGGUCUGAGAGGACGAUCAGCCACACUGGGACUGAGACACGGCCCAGACUCCUACGGGAGGCAGCAGUGGGGAAUAUUGGACAAUGGGCGAAAGCCUGAUCCAGCAAUGCCGCGUGUGUGAAGAAGGCCUGCGGGUUGUAAAGCACUUUCAGCUGGGAAGAUAAUGACGGUACCAGCAGAAGAAGCACCGGCUAACUCCGUG